This 266-nucleotide ribosomal RNA is filed under the name uncultured bacterium. Its description in RNAcentral is "partial 16S ribosomal RNA". It matches the Rfam family "Bacterial small subunit ribosomal RNA", at positions 355 to 637 of the family's 1533-position model. The record is from RNAcentral.
CGAGGAAUAUUGCACAAUGGGCGAAAGCCUGAUGCAGCAACGCCGCGUGAGGGACGAAGGCCUUCGGGUCGUAAACCUCUUUUCUGGGGGACGAGUAAGGACGGUACUCCAGGAAUAAGUCUCGGCUAACUACGUGCCAGCAGCCGCGGUAAAACGUAGGAGGCGAGCGUUAUCCGGAUUUACUGGGCGUAAAGCGUACGCAGGUGGCUUCGUUAGUCGGACAUGAAAGCUCCUGGCUUAACUGGGAGAGGUUGUUCGAUACUGCG